RNA transcript from Juglans microcarpa x Juglans regia, 1755 nucleotides. It is a transcript of the gene named beta-glucosidase 42, with no coding region annotated. The record is from RefSeq and is a predicted model, not a curated record. Lineage: Eukaryota; Viridiplantae; Streptophyta; Magnoliopsida; Fagales; Juglandaceae. The transcript has 14 exons.
GCAUCCCCACUCUGCUCAAACUCCAACUGACAACAAUGGUGAAGAAAAAGGACUACUUGAAAGAAUAUGAAGCUGCCGAUUCCAGCAAGAACGACAUCUCUCGCAGUGAUUUCCCUCCAAACUUCGUCUUUGGCGUGGCCACUUCUGCCUAUCAGGUUGAAGGAGCCUGUAAGGAGGGUGGUAGGGGCCCUAGUAUUUGGGAUGCUUUUUCACACACUGAGGGCAAGAUUGUUGACAAAAGCAACGGUGAUUCUGCAGUGGAUCAAUAUCAUAGAUACAAGGAAGAUGUUGAGCUUAUAUCCAAGUUGGGGUUUGAUGCUUAUCGCUUUUCCAUAUCAUGGUCGCGUAUUUUCCCUGAUGGUUUGGGAACCAAAGUUAAUGAUGAAGGGAUUGCUUACUAUAACAAUGUCAUUAAUGCUCUUCUUGAGAAGGGUAUCCAGCCUUGCGUAACUUUGUACCAUUGGGAUCUUCCUUUGCAUCUUCAUGAGACAAUGGGAGGGUGGUUGAAUAAACAAAUUGUAAAAUACUUUGCAAUCUAUGCAGAAACUUGCUUCGCCAGUUUUGGUGAUAGGGUAAAGACCUGGAUUACAAUUAAUGAGCCCCUUCAAACUUCUGUUAAUGGAUAUGAUGCUGGGAUAUUUGCUCCAGGAAGACGAGAGCAUUCUUUAACAGAACCAUAUUUGGUUUCACACCACCAGAUCUUGGCCCAUGCAGCAGCUGUUUCGAUAUACCGAAACAAGUAUAAGGACAAGCAAGGGGGACAAAUAGGGUUGGUGCUAGAUUGUGAAUGGGCAGAGGCUAAUUCGGAUAAAAUGGAAGAUAACUCUGCUGCAGCAAGACGUCUUGAUUUUCAGUUUGGAUGGUUUUUGCAUCCAAUAUGCUAUGGGGAAUAUCCUAACGUGAUGCGUGAAAGACUUGGAGAGCGGCUUCCUAAAUUUUCAGAGGAAGAUAAGGAGUUGAUUAGGAACUCAAUUGACUUUCUUGGUCUGAAUCACUAUACAUCAAGGUUUAUUGCUUAUGUAAAAGAUAGUCCCGAUGAAGGUGAUUACUAUAAAGCACAAGAGAUGCAGAGACUCGCUGAAUGGGAAGAGGGUGAAGCAAUUGGUCCGAGGGCUGCAUCAGAAUGGCUUUAUGUGGUUCCUUGGGGCAUCCGGAAGGUUCUCAAUUACAUAGCACAGAAAUACAAUAAUGUCCCAAUAUAUGUUACUGAGAAUGGAAUGGAUGACAAUGACGACGGCACUUCCCCACUUAAUGAGAUGCUAGAUGACAAACUGAGAAUUUUUUACUACAAGACAUACCUUGAGGCAGUUGCUCAGGCAAUCAAAGAUGGAGUUGACGUGAGGGGAUAUUUUGCAUGGUCAUUACUGGACAACUUUGAGUGGGCUCAAGGUUAUACCAAACGUUUUGGUUUAGUUUAUGUGGAUUACAAGAAUGGGCUCUCUCGUCACCCAAAAUCUUCUGCUUAUUGGUUCCUAAGGUUCUUGAAAGGUGGGGAAGGAAAUCAUGUCAAGGAAGACUAAUUGACUUGUAUUCAGCUCCCCAAUCUGUAUCCGCUGGGUUAUAUAAUGAGUCAGAACCAAAAACAAAGAUCCUCAGGCAUGUGUAACAGGCAUUUACCAUAUAGCCAUGUUGUACACUUGUAUCUACAUAUGUAUCUGUUGGGUUAUGUAAUUGAGUCAAACCAAAAAUAAAGAUCCUCAGGCAUGCAUGUGUUACAGGCAUUUACCAUAUAGCCAUACUUAUUCUAGCUUUAGU